RNAcentral lists this unclassified non-coding RNA (290 nucleotides) under uncultured fungus. RNAcentral's name for it is "partial contains small subunit ribosomal RNA, internal transcribed spacer 1, and 5.8S ribosomal RNA". The stretch from base 1 to 73 matches the Rfam family "Eukaryotic small subunit ribosomal RNA", at positions 1759 to 1831 of the family's 1831-position model. The record is from RNAcentral. Lineage: Eukaryota; Fungi.
GCAAACUUGGUCAUUUAGAGGAAGUAAAAGUCGUAACAAGGUCUCCGUUGGUGAACCAGCGGAGGGAUCAUUACAGAGUCUCGCACUCGCCCAAACCACUGUGAACACUACCCACGUUGCUUCGGCGUCAUCCCGCGCCAGCGUCCCCCCUCCCCUCGUGGUGGCGGGCUCGCUGCCGGCGGCGUCGGGGACCCCCUAACCAUGCACUCUGUGGCAUAUCGGAAACAAAACAAGCAAAUAAAACUUUCAGCAACGGAUCUCUUGGCUCUGGCAUCGAUGAAGAACGCAGC